GGCAGCAUGGCUCAGUAGAAAGAGCAUGGGCUUGGGAGUCAGAAGUCUUGGGUUCGAAUCCCUGGUCUGCCA
Non-coding RNA from Ornithorhynchus anatinus (platypus), 72 nucleotides. The record is from Rfam. NCBI's taxonomy places the organism in Eukaryota, Metazoa, Chordata, Mammalia, Monotremata, Ornithorhynchidae.